Molecule: ribosomal RNA, 250 nt
Filed under: uncultured Desulfuromonas sp.
Lineage: Bacteria; Pseudomonadati; Thermodesulfobacteriota; Desulfuromonadia; Desulfuromonadales; Desulfuromonadaceae
Description: partial 16S ribosomal RNA
Rfam family: Bacterial small subunit ribosomal RNA
Source: RNAcentral
UACGGAGGGUGCGAGCGUUGUUCGGAAUUAUUGGGCGUAAAGCGCGUGCAGGCGGUCUGUUAAGUCUGAUGUGAAAGCCCUGGGCUCAACCCGGGAAGUGCAUUGGAAACUGGCAGACUAGAGUACGGGAGAGGGAAGUGGAAUUCCGAGUGUAGGGGUGAAAUCCGUAGAUAUUCGAAGGAACACCGGUGGCGAAGGCGGCUACCUGGACCGAUACUGACGCUGAGACGCGAAAGCGUGGGGAGCAAAC